Hypoxylon sp. NC1633 is the source of this 91-nucleotide non-coding RNA. The record is from the annotation of a GenBank genome assembly. NCBI's taxonomy places the organism in Eukaryota, Fungi, Ascomycota, Sordariomycetes, Xylariales, Hypoxylaceae.
GGAAUCUUAGCUCAGUGGUACGAGCGAAGGAUUGCAGUAAACCCCAUUGCCGACUAUCCUUAGGUCGCCGGUUCGAUCCCGGCAGGUUCCU